This 433-nucleotide ribosomal RNA is filed under the name uncultured bacterium. Its description in RNAcentral is "partial 16S ribosomal RNA". It matches the Rfam family "Bacterial small subunit ribosomal RNA", at positions 29 to 507 of the family's 1533-position model. The record is from RNAcentral.
AACGAACGCUGGCGGCAUGCCUAACACAUGCAAGUCGAACGAGACCUUCGGGUCUAGUGGCGCACGGGUGCGUAACGCGUGGGAACCUGCCCUUAGGUUCGGAAUAACUCCCCGAAAGGGGUGCUAAUACCGGAUAAUGUCUUCGGACCAAGGAUUUAUCGCCUUUGGAUGGGCCCGCGUUGGAUUAGCUAGUUGGUAGGGUAAAAGCCUACCAAGGCGACGAUCCAUAGCUGGUCUGAGAGGAUGAUCAGCCACACUGGGACUGAGACACGGCCCCGACUCCUACGGGAGGCAGCAGUGGGGAAUAUUGGACAAUGGGCGAAAGCCUGAUCCAGCAAUGCCGCGGGAGUGAUGAAGGCCUUAGGGUUGUAAAGCUCUUUUACCCGGGAUGAUAAUGACAGUACCGGGAGAAUAAGCGCCGGCUAACUCCGUG